This 441-nucleotide ribosomal RNA is filed under the name uncultured bacterium. Its description in RNAcentral is "partial 16S ribosomal RNA". It matches the Rfam family "Bacterial small subunit ribosomal RNA", at positions 338 to 795 of the family's 1533-position model. The record is from RNAcentral.
CCUACGGGUGGCAGCAGUGGGGAAUAUUGCACAAUGGGGGAAACCCUGAUGCAGCGACGCCGCGUGAGCGAGGAAGUAUUUCGGUAUGUAAAGCUCUAUCAGCAGGGACGAAAAAAGACGGUACCUGACCAAGAAGCCCCGGCUAACUACGUGCCAGCAGCAGCGGUAAUACGUAGGGGGCAAGCGUUAUCCGGAAUUACUGGGUGUAAAGGGAGGGUAGACGGCAAGGCAAGCCAGGAGGGAAAGGGCAGGGCUCAAACCUGUACAUGCUUUUGGAACUGUGGUGAUAGAGUUCAGGAGAGGGAAGUGGAAUGCCGAGUGUAGCGGUGAAAUGCGUAGAUAUUAGGAAGAACACCAGUGGCGAAGGCGGCUUACUGGACUGUAACUGACGUUGAGGCUCGAAAGCGUGGGGAGCAAACAGGAUUAGAUACCCCAGUAGUC